GACCUGUAAGAAUCGGCGGCAGCGACAGCGAAAAGGGCGGCGAGGAUGAAGAACUAAUAAAAUAUGGAACAUUUGACGCCAUGUAAAAGCACUUUCAAAGCCACGCUGAAGUCGAUGACCACUGAAACGCUUCAUGCUAAAGGUCAUCUAUUCUUUCUUCAUUUACAACUCAAGAAGGCUCAGUUGGAUGAAUAAAUUUCAUGAUGGCAGUUUUUACAUUUGAAGCCUUUUCUCUAUUCUUUUAUUGUUCGUCGUGUUUCUGUGGAUUAAGAAAUCGCAUUUUUUUAUUUUUGGGUGAUUUAGUUAUUGAAUUGUAUCUGCGUUUUGAACUUGUGGUAAUCCUAUCCAUUCCGAGUGGUUCUGGCCCUUCAGUUUCCGCAGGACAAAAGAAUUCCUUGCUGUUCAAAAACAUCCACGUUCGGUGGUUUAAAUUCAGUAUCGUUUCCUGUGUAUGUUUCUAUUGUACCUGAUUUUGGAGCUAACUUGGUGAGCCCGUUCUGCAUCAUCAAAGAUUUGGGAUCAUCAUCGCGGGUAAACGAUUUAGGAACUGCAGAGUCUGCGAUUUGUAUGCCGGAGCUUCGUACUUGGGAGCGUAUUCGGCUGACCUGUAAGAAUCGGCGGCAGCGACAGCGAAAAGGGCGGCGAGGAUGAUGAACUAAUAAAAUAGGAACAUUUGACGCCAUGUAAAAGAUAUAGGUCUACAACUCUCCAUGACGUCCAUGCCCAUCUCCACAUCCAACUCUUUCAUGUCGUCCAUGUGUUGCUUUCAUUGCCCGUUUUACUCACUACCUGGUGCAAAACAAAAUAAUGGGUCCUCGGGUCACCUCAGCACAUGCACUUUCAUAGGCACUUCCAUGCCGAAUCGAUGACCACGAAGCGCUUCACGCUAAAGGCCAGCACAUUUUUCUGAAUUGUGUAUCCAUAUUCUGAAUGCAGUUUUUUUCCAUUGUCGUCGUUUUUCCGUGAACCAAGUAAUCGAUUUUUUUUUAACUUUUUGGGUAUCUAUGUAGUUAUCGAUUUCUAUCUGCGUAUUGAACUUAUGGUGAUCCAAUCCAUCCCAAUCGGUUCCGGCCAUCCAAUUUUCGCAAGGAAGAAGAAUUCCUUUUUAUUUUAAAACAGAACCGAGAAUCCAGGAAUAUUUUAGCGCUUCCAUAAUUAAAAUAUUUAUGGUAGUACUUUGAUCGAAUUGAAUUUUUGUAUUAAAUAAUAAGUUUAGAUACACACAUUUCAGCGGUUUCAA
Molecule: long non-coding RNA, 1240 nt
Organism: Daphnia pulex (common water flea)
Lineage: Eukaryota; Metazoa; Arthropoda; Branchiopoda; Diplostraca; Daphniidae
Exons: 7
Source: RefSeq, a predicted model, not a curated record